This 497-nucleotide ribosomal RNA is filed under the name uncultured bacterium. RNAcentral describes it as "partial 16S ribosomal RNA". It matches the Rfam family "Bacterial small subunit ribosomal RNA", at positions 28 to 507 of the family's 1533-position model. The record is from RNAcentral.
GAUGAACGCUGGCGGCGUGCCUAAUACAUGCCAGUCGAGCGAACAGACGAGGAGCUUGCUCCUCUGACGUUAGCGGCGGACGGGUGAGUAACACGUGGAUAACCUACCUAUAAGACUGGGAUAACUUCGGGAAACCGGAGCUAAUACCGGAUAAUAUAUUGAACCGCAUGGUUCAAUAGUGAAAGACGGUUUUGCUGUCACUUAUAGAUGGAUCCGCGCCGCAUUAGCUAGUUGGUAAGGUAACGGCUUACCAAGGCGACCAUGCGUAGCCGACGUGAGAGGGCGAUCGGCCACACUGGAACUGAGACGCGGUCCAGACUCCUACGGGAGGCAGCAGUAGGGAAUCUUCCGCAAUGGGCGAAAGCCUGACGGAGCAACGCCGAGUGAGUGAUGAAGGUCUUCGGAUCGGAAAACUCUGUUAUUAGGGAAGAACAAAUGUGUAAGUAACUAUGCACGUCUUGACGGUACCUAAUCAGAAAGCCACGGCUAACUACGUG